UACGUAUGGUGCAAGCGUUAUCCGGAUUUACUGGGUGUAAAGGGAGCGCAGGCGGCACGGCAAGCCUGAUGUGAAAGCCCGCGGCCCAACCGCGGGACUGCAUUGGGAACUACCGGGCUGGAGUGCCGGAGAGGUAGGCGGAAUUCCUAGUGUAGCGGUGAAAUGCUUAGAGAUCAUACAGAACACCGAUUGCGAAGGCAGCUUACCAAACUAUAUCUGACGUUGAGGCACGAAAGCGUGGGUAGCAAACAGG
This 253-nucleotide ribosomal RNA is filed under the name uncultured bacterium. RNAcentral's name for it is "partial 16S ribosomal RNA". It matches the Rfam family "Bacterial small subunit ribosomal RNA", at positions 524 to 776 of the family's 1533-position model. The record is from RNAcentral.